Molecule: non-coding RNA, 262 nt
Organism: Pelobates cultripes (western spadefoot toad)
Lineage: Eukaryota; Metazoa; Chordata; Amphibia; Anura; Pelobatidae
Source: the annotation of a GenBank genome assembly
CAGUGAGGGAAUUAAGGACAGCACGUUGUCCUUGUAACGGGAUUCCAGCACGGUGGCCAUCCAGUAAUCAUCACAAGUUAGAAUGUGGGCAUCUCGGCAGUCGUUGCGCAGUCACUUUAGUGACUCUAGAUAACCUCGGGCCAAUCGAAGUUCCCCAUGACAGCGAUGACGCAUUCGGAUGUCUGCCUUAUCAACUUUCGAUGGUACUUUCUGCGCCAACCAUUGUGGCCACGGGUAACGGGGAAUCAGGUUUCAAUUCUGG